AGCCUAGUGUUUUUCUGUCGGUAUACUUGUACAUAUGUUUGUACUCAGAAUUUAUCUUAUAUUGUCUUUAAUACUACUAAAAAUACAUUGUAGUUUAAUAUUUUCUGAUUCAAAAUAAUCACUAAAUGUUUGUUGUUUAUUCAAAUGUCACUCAUAGUAUAGGGUCUUGGAGGCCAACUUGACCAUGAAAAACAUUGAACUUGCAGAUAUCUUGAAAAUAAACCAGGCAUUUAGAACUUGAUCUGUUCAGCUCUUUUUUUUUUUUUUGUACUUAUCUAUUUUUCAGACUCUACAGUCAUAAAAUAGCCAGGAAAACCAGGAAUUUAGAAUAAAGUCAAGAAAAUGACUGAAGGCCAAGAAAUUAAACCAGUGGACAAUUCACCUAGCACAAGAAGCAUGGUGGACUAUAAAGACAUUGGUCACUGAAGUUAUAUAAGCAUGCAGAAAAAGAAGCAGAAAAGCAUAUAUUAAGUAAAAGACAAAACCAAGAUUGCUGUGAAAAUAUCUCUCUUACAGAAGAUUUCAGGACCUUUGCAACUUCAAUUUUCUUAUUUUGUUUUGAUGCAUUUGUUUUUAAAAUAAAUGGCACAUGAGGACCUCCAUUUUUGACAGGUUAAGCUACUACCUUCCAAUUUAAGAUAAUCCCCAAUCCAGGAAUCAAUGAAGUCAUGCUAUAAAUUGCAUUCAUGUCCACAGAGAAGCAGAGGAUUGAGAUGGAAUCACAUUGAAACUGUGACGCCUUCUGCCAGAAAUAACUUCGUGUAAAGUGUAGGAGACAUCACGCAAGAGGUUACUGUGGGGAGACAGGCUUAAAUGAUAAGAUCCUCACUCUAAGAAUAAAUGAAUAAUGUCUAUGCUGCUUCAUUACUUUUGUUCCCCGUUACAAAGAUAAAGUUAAUUAUUUGGAGAUAGCAUAGAAGACUGUUUAUUGAAUGUGACAUGCUAGAUGCAAUUCUGGAUUGCAGUAUAUUGUAAUAUUAAAGAUCAAGGGACUUUUAAUAGGAAUCAAAUACAAUUUUUAAUUGAG
This 1027-nucleotide long non-coding RNA is filed under the name Callithrix jacchus (white-tufted-ear marmoset). RNAcentral describes it as "lncRNA (ENSCJAG00000076590.1)". Lineage: Eukaryota; Metazoa; Chordata; Mammalia; Primates; Cebidae. The record is from RNAcentral.